Molecule: ribosomal RNA, 465 nt
Filed under: uncultured bacterium
Lineage: Bacteria
Description: partial 16S ribosomal RNA
Rfam family: Bacterial small subunit ribosomal RNA
Source: RNAcentral
GACGAACGCUGGCGGCGCGCCUAACACAUGCAAGUCGAACGAGCGAGAGGAGGUUUACUUUCUCAAGCGAGUGGCGAACGGGUGAGUAACGCGUGAGGAACCUGCCUCAAGAGGGGGACAACAGUUGGAAACGACUGCUAAUACCGCAUAAGCCCACGACCCGGCAUCGGGUAGAGGGAAAAGGAGCAAUCCGCUUUGAGAUGGCCUCGCGUCCGAUUAGCUAGUUGGUGAGGUAAUGGCCCACCAAGGCGACGAUCGGUAGCCGGACUGAGAGGUUGAACGGCCACAUUGGGACUGAGACACGGCCCAGACUCCUACGGGAGGCAGCAGUGGGGAAUAUUGCACAAUGGGGGAAACCCUGAUGCAGCGACGCCGCGUGGAGGAAGAAGGUCUUCGGAUUGUAAACUCCUGUUGUUGAGGAAGAUAAUGACGGUACUCAACAAGGAAGUGACGGCUAACUACGUG